GAUGAAGAACGCAGCGAAAUGCGAUAAGUAAUGUGAAUUGCAGAAUUCAGUGAAUCAUCGAAUCUUUGAACGCACAUUGCGCCCGCCAGUAUUCUGGCGGGCAUGCCUGUUCGAGCGUCAUUUCAACCAUCAAGCCCCGGGCUUGUGUUGGGGACCUGCGGCUGCCGCAGGCCCUGAAAUGCAGUGGCGGGCUCGCUGUCACUCCGAGCGUAGUAGUUACAUCUCGCUCUGGGCGUGCUGCGGGUUCCGGCCGUUAAAAGCCUUAUUUACCCAAGGUUGACCUCGGAUCAGGUAGGAAGACCCGCUGAACUUAAGCAUAUCAAUAGGCGGAGGA
This 334-nucleotide unclassified non-coding RNA is filed under the name soil metagenome. RNAcentral describes it as "partial contains 5.8S ribosomal RNA, internal transcribed spacer 2, and large subunit ribosomal RNA". The stretch from base 1 to 120 matches the Rfam family "5.8S ribosomal RNA", at positions 35 to 154 of the family's 154-position model. The record is from RNAcentral.